GAGAAUGGGCUCAACAAAGGCUAUCAAAGCCCAUUCGGAUGGGGUGCAGUAGCAUCGAGGGAGUGUGCAUGCAGGCCAAAAUUGAUUGGGCUAAAGGCCCAAGUUCUCACCAACAUAAUUAGGUUUUUACAACAGAAACUUCAGAAUCGUACCUUCAAAAUUUUCCCAAAAUGAGCGAUUGUGGUUGUGAGACCUCACAGACCAACUGAAGCCGUCAUGGAGGUUGCGCCGGUGAGGAGCGAUUGAAGGUUGAUUGUGGCCGACGGAGAAAUUGUGGUUUUGUGAGGGUGCUCGUUGGAGGUUUGGAAGGAUUCGUUGGAAGAAGAAGAAGAUGACGCUGAGUUUGAUGCGUCCCGUCUUCAAAUAAGCCUCCUUCUUCUGUUUCGAUUACAGGUUUGAAGAGACUUGAUGUAAUGGAAGGUGGCUGCUACAAGCUUCAAGACAACCUGUUUUCGUGACUAAGUCCAAAGUGAUUUCAUCCUAAUUGCUUGGUUUUGGUCAUUAGGAACCUAUCCCCAUUUGUAGCAAAUUUCACUGUAAUUACAUUGGGUUUUUUUUAAAGACAAAUAUGUGCUUGGAUUAUGUAACUUAUUGAAUUAAAAGUCUAAUAACCAUUAAUAAUUAUGUAUUCAA
Lathyrus oleraceus (garden pea) is the source of this 633-nucleotide long non-coding RNA. RefSeq lists it as uncharacterized. The transcript is spliced from 2 exons. Lineage: Eukaryota; Viridiplantae; Streptophyta; Magnoliopsida; Fabales; Fabaceae. The record is from RefSeq and is a predicted model, not a curated record.